CCUACGGGUGGCAGCAGUGAGGAAUAUUGGUCAAUGGCCGGAAGGCUGAACCAGCCAAGCCGCGUGAAGGACGAAGGUGCCAAGCAUUGUAAACUUCUUUUGUCAAGGGACAAAAUCAGGCGCGAGAGCCUGACCGAGGGUACUUGAAGAAAAAGCAUCGGCUAACUCCGAGCCAGCAGCCGCGGUAGUACGGAGGAUGCGAGUGUUAUCCGGAUUGAUUGGGUUUAAAGGGUGCGUAGGCGGGCUGUUAAGUCAGCGGUAAAAGCCCGGGGCUCAACCCCGCCGAGCCGUUGAAACUGGCUGUCUUGAGAUGUCGAGAGGUAUGCGUAAUGCGCAGUGUAGCGGUGAAGUGCUUAGAUAUUGCGCAGAACUCCGAUUGCGCAGGCAGCAUACCGGCGGCGCUCUGAUGCUGAGGCACGAAAGCGUGGGUAUCGAACAGGAUUAGAUACCCGUGUAGUC
RNAcentral lists this ribosomal RNA (459 nucleotides) under uncultured bacterium. RNAcentral describes it as "partial 16S ribosomal RNA". It matches the Rfam family "Bacterial small subunit ribosomal RNA", at positions 338 to 795 of the family's 1533-position model. The record is from RNAcentral.